UUACACAAAAAGAUGUAAACAGGAAUUCUUAUAUGAUCCUUAGGUAUUCCACUUUCUAUAGGCACAGGCUCACGAAUCUGUGAUGACGAUACACCCAUAUGUCCAGAAGAGUUCCCCUUCAAUCUAACUGGGCCUGACUGGAGCAUCUCGGCCCAGUCAUCAAACCAGGGAGACGAUAAUGCUAAAAAAGCUGUUGAUGGGAAGAAAGAAACCUGCACUAAUGAAAUCUCCUGGUGGAUGAUUGACCUGAAGGAUGUCUACAACAUUUCUUCUAUUGCUAUCUACAACAAAGAAAAUGUAGAAAUAUCUGGAGCUCAGAUCCACAUCGGGAACUGUCCUCACCUCAACAACAGACUGUAUGUUACUAUGAAUUGAUUUAUUUCACAC
Long non-coding RNA from Larimichthys crocea (large yellow croaker), 387 nucleotides. RefSeq lists it as uncharacterized. Lineage: Eukaryota; Metazoa; Chordata; Actinopteri; Sciaenidae. The transcript is spliced from 3 exons. The record is from RefSeq and is a predicted model, not a curated record.